RNAcentral lists this ribosomal RNA (447 nucleotides) under uncultured bacterium. RNAcentral describes it as "bacterial SSU rRNA". It matches the Rfam family "Bacterial small subunit ribosomal RNA", at positions 330 to 794 of the family's 1533-position model. The record is from RNAcentral.
CCCAGACUCCUACGGGAGGCAGCAGUGGGGGAUAUUGCACAAUGGGGGAAACCCUGAUGCAGCGACGCCGCGUGAGUGAAGAAGUAUUUCGGUAUGUAAAGCUCUGUCAGCAGGGACGAAAAUGACGGUACCUGGGGAGGAAGCUCCGGCUAACUACGUGCCAGCAGCCGCGGUAAUACGUAGGGAGCAAGCGUUGUCCGGAAUUACUGGGUGUAAAGGGAGCGUAGACGGCGGCGCAAGCCAGAUGUGAAAGCCCGGGGCUCAACUCCGGGACUGCAUUUGGAACUGUGUGGCUGGAGUGUCGGAGAGGCAGGCGGAAUUCCUAGUGUAGCGGUGAAAUGCGUAGAUAUUAGGAGGAACACCAGUGGCGAAGGCGGCCUGCUGGACGAUGACUGACGUUGAGGCUCGAAAACGUGGGGAGCAAACAGGAUUAGAUACCCUAGUAUC